AGGUGGAGAGAGGCUGCCGCUGUGCCGGUGGAGAGGCUGACGCUGUGCCGGUGGAGAGGCUGACGCUGUGCAGGUGGAGAGAGGCUGACGCUGUGCAGGUGGAGAGAGGCUGACGCUGUGCAGCUGGAGAGAGGCUGACGCUGUACAGCUGGAGAGGCUGGGGCACACAGUCAUCAGGUCAGCUGCAAGCUCACAGCUGCUGCAUCUUUUCCCUGACAGCUCACUCCUGUGAGAGUCUUCCAGGCU
Molecule: long non-coding RNA, 246 nt
Filed under: Pan troglodytes (chimpanzee)
Lineage: Eukaryota; Metazoa; Chordata; Mammalia; Primates; Hominidae
Description: long non-coding RNA NONPTRT000009
Source: RNAcentral